Molecule: long non-coding RNA, 8034 nt
Filed under: Salvia miltiorrhiza (redroot sage)
Lineage: Eukaryota; Viridiplantae; Streptophyta; Magnoliopsida; Lamiales; Lamiaceae
Description: long non-coding RNA (SMIL_LNC005896)
Source: RNAcentral
UAUAGCACCCGACAAAUGAUUGGAUUGAACAUACAGAGUUUGUAGACUUUGAAGUCUCCCAAACUCUUUUGGAAUUUCUCCACUUAGAGAAUUGGAAGAUAAGUCAAGAAAUUGUAGGUUUGUGAGGUUUGAGAGAGAUUUUGGGAUGGAACCUAUGAAGCUGUUGUUGCGUAAAGACAAGUACUCUAAUUUUGGUAACUGACCCAACAUCGGAGGGAUGUCUCCGGUGAAGUUGUUGAGUCGGAGAGAUAUGAACUUCAAACGGCGAAGGAGAGACAGUUGGUGUGGCAAAUCUCCAUAGAAAAGGUUGUUGGAGAGGUCGAGGGAGACGAGGAAGGAGAGGCGUCCGAGCUGUGGAGGAAUGGUGGCGGAGAGAGCCAUGUUGGAGAGAUUCAAGGCAGCUACUCUGUGGUGGCGGAAGCUGCAAGUGACGCCAAUCCAGGUGCAGACGGAGGUGGAGUUGGUCCAAUUAGUUGCAAGUAAAAGAGAUGUAUGUUUGAGUGAAAGAAGGGCAGUUUGAUCAGUUGCAAGGCUCAGAGGUUGUUUGGCUUUGGCUUCAGAAGAAAGCAUUGGGAAGGUUAUGGUGAUUAGGAAUGCAUACUGCAAAAUGCAAUAAAGCUUUUUCUCCAUGGCUGCAAAUUGUGAUUGUAUUAUGAUAAUGAAGUCGUUAAUAACUGCAUCCAAUAAUCAUCAUAUAUACACAAAUAUUACGUACAAGACUUGCUUGAGUGUUGAUGGGUGUGGAUUUUGAGUCAAGUCGUUCAUCCCUACCCUCUCGUGGUCCAUACAAAUGUCGGCCCCAAUCACUUCUAGAGACUGAGACUAAGACCAAGACUUGAGGUUGAGACAAAGACACAGACGGAGACGAAGACGAAGGUGAAGACUUUUCUUAAAAGUUUACAUGAUUCGGAACUUUUCCAAUUGACAUCAUAUAUACUUGUACUUGUGCAUAAGUAUUCUGGUUAAUGGACUUAAUUAUGAUUCCCAUUGCUGAUUAAUUUGGGAAUGAGAUGUUAACUAAGUGGGCGGUUGUGAGAUUUCAAUUGUUUAAAAUUGUGUUCUACUUCAUGGUUGUAGCAGACUUAAAGUUGAUUCAAUUACAUAUAAUUACCUUGAAAAACAUCUUUCGUUACCGCUAUAUUAAUGGGUCCACUAGAUUUAAGGCAAUAUAUCAUACAGGGAAGGGCUGCCGUGGAAUCACGAGAAAAACUAGAAAGUGAGUAAAAGUAAUUGUUACUUUUACAAAACUGUAAAAAGGAAAUUCUAUAUGCGUGACGCUGGGAAUUUUUUUUCGUGUCGGCCCAUUUCAUUAUAUCUACCAAGUGCUGAAGCUGAGAAAUUGUCAAUUUUGUCAGCUAAAAGCCUAAAAUUAGUCAAUACAUCGCCUCGUUGCUUAUUCAAGAUAGGAACAGCUCAUCAACAUUUAGUUUUCAUUUGACUCUAUCAAUUUCUUAACUAGUACGCCCGCCGUUGGGAGACCGCCCAGUGCCCAUAAUUUAUUAGGGGCCUAAAAAAAUUUAUUUAUUUUUAUGUGGAAUCGAACCACUCAAGCUGUUCAAGUUUAAAUGAUACAGUCAAAUGAAAGUAGUUUUGGAAGAUGUAAAAGAAAAUUAUGAUAUCUGCACAGAAAUGCAGUUUAUAUCUUUCUGCAGAAUGAUGAAGAAGAAUUUGGGAAGGAGCGUGAGAAAUAUUUUCUCGAGUUCAACAAAUCAAUACAACAUUUAUAGGAGAAAGAGGGCUAUGUGGAGAAACCCUAUUCAAGCAAUCUUUUUAAAAAACGGUCUCCUGUGAAAUCGGUUUCACAGGAGUUUUUGUGUUAAACCAAUUCCAAAUAUCUGGUAUAUAGUGAAGAAAAUAAUUUUAAUAGUUGAAUAAAUAUGCGUAAUAAUACAUGUAAUGGGCUUAAAAGAAUUUAGCUAAAAUCUAUCUAUAAUUGAGAUCCAAGUAAAUUCUUGUGUAUCCUUAUAAAAUACUAUCAUAUAUAGGUGUUAAUAAAGCUUGUUAUUAUGGUCCUACUUAUUGUUCUCAAAGAUAUCAGGCUAAUUGGGAUGUUAAAAAAAUAAGUAUUUGUGUUCAAGUUAUCAUAAUAUCUAAAAAGAUAUGAGCUUUUAAUUAGAAUUUGCAUGUUUGAGAAUUGAGCAUGCAUGUCCUCACUACGGAAGCAAGCGUCGUGCAUUCGUAAGCAAUAUUCUCAAUUGCGGCUGUCAAAAAAAUUUUGUUAUGUCAAAAUUUUGAGUUCGGAUAUUUUAUUCUGUGAAUAAUAAUAUUGGUUUGAAUUGUUGGGAAAGUUUUUAUAUAUGUAUUAAAGUUGUGGUUAAUUUAGUUGAUGUUAUAGCUUUUAUAAAACAAAAGGCUGAGUUAAACCAAUAGCAUCGCAUUAUUUCUCACUGUAAUUACCAAGAUAAGACUGACUUAAAGAGUUUUAGGCUUUCUAACCAUAUCCAUGUUUUGGUCAUGGAAGGAUAUAUGCAAAUAAGAUUGACAUUAUUAUGGAUUAAAGAAGCAAUAUUUUGUUUGCCAAUUUGCUCCGCAGGUCGCGGCCGUCGACUGGAAUUUCAUAAUUUGCUCCGCACGCCUAUGAUAUUAUAUUCAAAUUUCAGGAGAUUAUGUUUUGUUUUCAGUAUGAAUAUGCUACAAAAUAGUUUGCGAUUUUCUGGUAUUUGAUGGUUUGUGUUUCUCAUUGCUCAAUAUCUAAGAUUAUCAAUCCCAAUAAUAAAUAUCAUCUUUCUUUCUUUCUUUCUUUUUUUCUUCAUUUUUUUUGUUUGGUAAAUGAGAUGUUACAGUUUGUUCAUUCAGAUGCUGAUAGCUCAGAUCAUGGCUAUCAUCUCUACUAGAUUUUGACACACAAAUUUGCUUGAUUUAGAUUGUGUAUAUAACACCAAGGAAGUAGUGUUGGUUGAAGGCCUAAUGUCUAAAUGUGCAGAUACAGUUUCUUUUGCCAACAAUUUGAAAUAAAAUCAGCAAUGGAAACUAGCAAAUCUUGUUUCUUGAAGGAUGCAUUCAGACAUCCGGCUUAGGUUGCGCGGCGUUCGAGCUCGUUUCUUGGCCGGAAAACCACUGAAUGGUUCUUCUAGCUAUAGGUAGCCACAACCUUCUAACCUUUUCAAAAUCUUCAACACUAUAUGCCUCAUCAAAGCCACCAAAUGAAGAAGACAUCAUUAGCUAACUUUGCGAUAGAAAUUUGGGAUAUGAAUAUCCUUUUAGAAAUAACAUAGAACUUUGAAAUAGCUUACUUGAAUCUCAUUGAGAAAAUCGAUGUUUGAUUUUUUGCAACUCUGCAUGUGCUUGUUUCAUGUUGAUUCUAUCCCCUGGAGAGUCGGCAGAGCAUUUCAGAGCCAAUUCGAGUAUGGAUGAUACACACUGCAUAUUCUUAUCAAUCAUUUCUUCCUCCAAAUUCAUGACUAAGUUGGCAUCUAUCACUUCAUCUGAGAUCUCCGAAAGUGAGAGUUCUACCCAUCUCUUUAAGCUCAUAUCUCCGCAAAACAUAUCAUCACUAGGCCUUUUUCUUGUAAAAGUUUCGAUCAACAUCACCCCGUAGCUAUACACAUCACACUUUGUUGAAACUAGCCCUUCCAAGCCAUACUCUGGAACAAUAAAAAUCAUGAUGUGUGCACUAAGAAAGACACAAUUAAUUGAUUGAAAGUGAAGUGCAAUCAAUAUAUUUAGAGAAACUUCACCUGGAGCGAUGUAACCGAAUGUUGCUAGCGUGUUGGUUAACACAAAGCUAUCUCCAUCGCAUAACAACUUUGCUUGGAUUCCCAUAACACAAAGCUAUCUCCAUCUGCCAAACUGAUCAUGCUUCCCAUAGGCACCGGAAUAGAACCUUCUAGUCUAUUAUUUGCCAAAGACAAAUUAAUCAAAUUCUGCAACUUCCCAAUAGUGCUAGGAAUUGACCCUGACAACUGAUUCAUCGAUAGGUUUAUAUAUAUUGCUGCUCCUAAGUUACUGAUCUCUUGUGGUAAGGAUCCAUUCAAUGAAUUUGAGGAUAAGUCUAGAGUGAUCAAAUCUUUUAGGCCCCAUAAGCUUGAAGGUAUGCUUGGAUUCAAAAUGUUGGAGUCUAGAAGAAGAUGUCUUAAAGAAGAGACAUUUCCCAGACAUUUAGGAAUUGGGCCUGAAAAUUGAUUCUUGCUCAUAACUAAAGUAUUGAGGCUGAAUAGAUCACAUAUAGCAUGUGGUAUUGAGCCUCCCAACCUGUUAUCAGACAGAUGUAAUCCUUGAAGUUCAUGCAAAUGGCUUAUAGUUAGUGGAAUAUUACCAGAUAACUCAUUCCCAGAUAAAUCCAGUACCAUCAUAUUGCUUAGAUUGCCUAUUUCAACGGGAAUGCUGCCACUGAAUUUGCAGUUGUAGGCAUUGAAUGUUUCGAGUGAGGAAGAUAAGUUCCCGACAGAAGCUGGAAUGACACCAUUUAGAGGAUUAUCAUCAAUUGACAAAGUAGUUAGAGACCUGCAAUUUGUCAAUGAAGUAAUGAAGGAAGAAGAUGGUGCCUGGGUAAGAUUGUUUCUGAAGUCAAGAGUUGAAGAAUUUGUCAAUGUUACCACUCAAUUUGUUUUGAGCAAGUGAGAGAUUAAUGAGUUGAGAACAGUUAGAGAUGGAGUUGGGUAUUGCUCCACCGAUGGAAUUAUUGCCAAGAAACAAUUCUUCAAGAAAGGGAGAGGAAUGGCAUAAAUGGGUUGGAAGAACCCCUGACAGAGCAUUGUCAUCAAGUCCAAGACUCCGAAGAGUUGAAAUGUUAAAGAGCUCAUGUGGAAUCGAACCACUCAAGCUGUUCGUGUCUAGAACUAAUGUCUCCAAAUGGUAAAGUUGGCCAAAUUCAGUGGGAAUAAGCCCUGCAAAACAUGAGAUUUCCAAACUGUAGCUAAAAACACAUAUUGUAGCUAAACAGAUAAUUUACAUGAAAAUUACUCUGUUGUACCUGUAAAAUGGUUUUCCGAGAGGUAUAACUCUGUUAGCAUGGUAAUAUUCCCGACAUCCCUUGAAAGGUUCCCCGUGAAUUUGUUGCGCCAUAGAUAUAUGUUUUGCAGAGAAGACAUAUUCAUGAAAAUAUUGAAAUCAAUUGAGCCCCCAAUCUGAUUGAAUUCAGCACCAAAAGUAACCAGACUCUGAAGAUGGCCAAUCUCAUGUGGUAGUAUUCCUGGCAAAAAAAGUGUCAUGAAACUAAUAAAAUCUCAUUUACACAAAUUUAUGUGAUAAGAACUUGAACCAUACCAUUCAAAUUGUUACCACCAAGAGCUAAAACCUGAAGAGAUGUUAAGUAGCCGAUUUCUGAAGGUAUCUCCCCACUAAAAGAGUUGUAAGAGAGGCUCAACACCUCAAGCCGUGAACAUUGGGAUAGAUUUGUGGGAAUCGCGCCACUCAGCUGAUUGUAAGAAAGAUAAAUCCCAGCAAGAAAUGGAAGAUUACGGCACAUGUCUGUUGGAAGACUUCCACUCAAUUCAUUGUAUGUGAAGGCCAUAGAUACAAGGGUCGAGAUGUUGAAUAUGGCUGAUGGUAUAGCACCGGAUAGACGAUUGAAUUGAACAGAUAGAGUUUGUAGACUUUGAAGUCUCCCAAACUCUUUUGGAAUUUCUCCACUUAGAGAAUUGGAAGUUAAGUCAAGAAAUUGUAGGUUUGUGAGGUUUGAGAGAGAUUUUGGGAUGGAACCUAUGAAGCUGUUGUUGCUUAAAGACAAGUACUCUAAUUUUGGUAACUGACCCAACAUCGGAGGGAUGUCUCCGGUGAAGUUGUUGAGUCGGAAAGAUAUGAACUUCAAACGGCGAAGGAGAGACAGCUCCUGAGGCAAAUCUCCAUAGAAAAGGUUGUUGAAGAGGUCGAGGGAGACGAGGAAGGAGAGGCGUCCGAGCUGUGGUGGAAUGGUGCCAGAGAGAGCCAUGUUGGAGAGAUUCAAGGCAGAUACUCUGUGGUGGCGCAAGCUGCAAGUGACGCCAAUCCAGGUGCAGACGGAGCUCGAGUUGGUCCAAUUACUUGCAAGUAAAAGAGAUGUAUGUUUGAGUGAAAGAAGGGCAGUUUGAUCAGUUGCAAGGCUCAGAGGUUGUUUGGCUUUGGCUUCAGAAGAAAGCAUUGGGAAGGUUAUGGUAAUUAGGAAUGCAUACUGCAAAAUGCAAGAAAGCUUUUUCUCCAUGGCUGCAAAUUGUGAUUGUAUUAUGAUAAUUAAGUCGCUAAUAACUGCAUCCAAUAAUCAUCAUAUAUACACAAAUAUUACGUACAAGACUUGGUUGAGUGUUGAUGGGUGUGGAUUUUGAGUCAAGUCGGCCCCAAUCACUUCUAGAGACUGAGACUAAGACCAAGAUGAAGACUUUUCUUAAAAGUUUACAUGAUUCGGAACUUUUCCAAGUGACAUCAUAUAUACUUGUACUUGUGCAUAAGUAUUCUGGUUAACGGACUUAAUUAUGAUUCCCAUUGCUGAUUAAUUUGGGAAUGAGAUGUUAACUUAGUGGGCGGUUGUGAGAUUUCAAUUGUUUAAAAUUGUGUUCUACUUCAUGGUUGUAAGUUUGUAACAGACUUGAAGUUGAUUCAAUUACAUAUUACCUUGAAAAACAUCUUUCGUUACCGCUAUAUUAUUUCUACCAAGUGCUGAAGCUGAGAAAUCGUCAAUUUUGUCAGCUAAAAGCCUAAAAUUAGUCAAUACAUCGCCUCGUUGCUUAUUCAAGAUAGGAACAGCUCAUCAACAUUUAGUUUUCAUUUGACUCUAUCAAUUUCUUAACUAGUACGCCCGCCGUAGGGCGACCGCCCAGUGCCCAUAAUUUAUUAUGGGCCUAAAAAAAAUUUAUUUAUUUUUAUGUGGAAUCGAACCACUCAAGCUGUUCAAGUUUAAAUGAUACAGUCAAAUGAAAGUAGUUUUGGAAGAUGUAAAAGAAAAUUAUGAUAUCUGCACAGAAAUGCAGUUUAUAUCUUUCUGCAGAAUGAUGAAGAAGAAUUUGGGAAGGAGCGUGAGAAAUAUUUUCUCGAGUUCAACAAAUCAAUACAACAUUUAUAGGAGAAAGAGGGCUAUGUGGAGAAACCCUAUUCAAGCAAUCUUUUUAAAAAACGGUCUCCUGUGAAAUCGGUUUCACAGGAGUACUUUUUGUGUUAAACCAAUUCCAAAUAUCUGGUAUAUAGUGAAGAAAAUAAUUUUAAUAGUUGAAUAAAUAUGCGUAAUAAUACAUGUAAUGGGCUUAAAAGAAUUUAGCCAAAAUCUAUAUCUAUAUCUAUACUAAUAGAAAAAGAGCCUAAACAUUUUAUGGGACAACUUUUGGAUUGCCUAUUUUACCCUUAUCAUAUAUUUUAUAAAAUAAAUGGGGUUUUUGCAAAUAAAAUCACGAACAAUUUUAAAUUUGCAAUUUUAACGCGACUUUUGAAGUGUGGCGAAUUAAAUCAUAACCUUUUCAAUUUUUGCAAUUUCGUCCCCUCAAUUUUUUCCGGCCACCGGAGUGAUGAGUUGGAGCUUAUGUGGAUUAUUUUUUUCCACGUAAUUAAUUUUUAGCUAAGAUUAAAACAAAAUCAAAACCUAAUUCUUUUAUUUUACUUCUUUUUCGUCUUUUAUAAAAAUAUAUUUGAUGUGUAUCUUAAGUUAAAGAUCAUGACAAGAUCUUCAAUUUUGNGAAUAUGGCUGAUGGUAUAGCACCGGAGAGAUGAUUAGAUUGAACAUAAAGAGUUUGUAGACUUUGAAGUCUCCCAAAAUCUUUUGGAAUUUCUCCACUUAGAGAAUUGGAAGUUAAGUCAAGAAAUUGUAGGUUUGUGAGGUUUGAGAGAGAUUUUGGGAUGGAACCUAUGAAGCUGUUGUUGCGUAAAGACAAGUACUCUAAUUUUGGUAACUGACCGAACAUCGGAGGGAUGUCUCCGGUGAAGUUGUUGAGUCGGAAAGAUAUGAACUUCAAACGGCGAAGGAGAAAAAGCUCCUGAGGCAAAUCUCCAUAGAAAAGGUUGUUGGUGAGGUCGAGGGAGACGAGGAAGGAGAGGCGUCCGAGCUGUGGUGGAAUGGUGGCGGAGAGAGCCAUGUUGGAGAGAUUCAACGCAGAAACUCUUCGGUGGCGCAAGCUGCAAGUGACUCCAAUCCAG